RNAcentral lists this transfer RNA (76 nucleotides) under Acidobacteriota bacterium. RNAcentral describes it as "Acidobacteria bacterium (freshwater metagenome) tRNA-Thr". It matches the Rfam family "tRNA". From Rfam's summary of the family: Transfer RNA (tRNA) molecules are approximately 80 nucleotides in length. Their secondary structure includes four short double-helical elements and three loops (D, anti-codon, and T loops). RNAcentral also lists the same sequence under 2 other names. The record is from RNAcentral. Lineage: Bacteria; Pseudomonadati; Acidobacteriota.
GCCGAUGUAGCUCAGUCGGUAGAGCGCGUCCUUGGUAAGGACGAGGUCACCGGUUCGAUCCCGGUCAUCGGCUCCA